This 468-nucleotide ribosomal RNA is filed under the name uncultured bacterium. Its description in RNAcentral is "partial 16S ribosomal RNA". It matches the Rfam family "Bacterial small subunit ribosomal RNA", at positions 28 to 507 of the family's 1533-position model. The record is from RNAcentral.
GACGAACGCUGGCGGCGUGCUUAACACAUGCAAGUCGAACGGAAAGGCCCUGCUUUUGUGGGUUGCUCGAGUGGCGAACGGGUGAGUAACACGUGAGUAACCUGCCCUUGACUUUGGGAUAACUUCAGGAAACUGGGGCUCAUACCGGAUAGGAGCUCCUGAUGCAUGGGGGGGGUUGGAAAGUUUCGGCGGUUGGGGAUGGACUCGCGGCUUAUCAGCUGGUUGGUGGGGUAGUGGCUUACCAAGUCUUUGACGGGUAGCCGGCCUGAGAGGGUGACCGGCCACCUUGGGACUGAGAUACGGCCCAGACUCCUACGGGCGGCAGCAGUGGGGAAUAUUGCGCAAUGGGCGGAAGCCUGACGCAGCAACGCCGCGUGCGGGAUGCCGGCCUUCGGGUUGUAAACCGCUUUCGCCUGUGACGAAGCGUGAGUGACGGUAAUGGGUAAAGAAGCACCGGCUAACUACGUG